ACGCGAAGAACUGAUCCGGUUCUUUGCCUCCCAAACGAAAGGCCGCCCUUCGGGGCGGCCUUUUGCUUUGCCUGGC
RNAcentral lists this small RNA (76 nucleotides) under Rhodobacter viridis. Its description in RNAcentral is "suhB". The record is from RNAcentral. Lineage: Bacteria; Pseudomonadati; Pseudomonadota; Alphaproteobacteria; Rhodobacterales.